GUGUGUGGAGGAAUAAGGAAAUCAGAUGUAACCAAGAUGCUCUGCUAUGCGAGGAUCCAUGCACAACUUAUCUUCUAGAGCAAGAGAUCCUGGAACAAAACUGGCUGUGUAAGUAAGAAUGAAACCCAAGAAAGCAACUGAUUCUUGUCACACAAAAAAGUGUGUGUUUGCCUAACAAAAUGAGCCUGGCUAGAAAGAUGCACCUUGGAAUCCAUUCUCAUAUUCCCCACUAUAAUCCCUAUUCUCAGCUAAUACUUGUUCAUUAUUUUAUCAAUUAAACAAAGUAAAACAACAA
This is a long non-coding RNA of Pezoporus occidentalis (night parrot), 295 nucleotides long. RefSeq lists it as uncharacterized. The record is from RefSeq and is a predicted model, not a curated record. NCBI's taxonomy places the organism in Eukaryota, Metazoa, Chordata, Aves, Psittaciformes, Psittacidae. The transcript has 2 exons.